RNAcentral lists this transfer-messenger RNA (352 nucleotides) under Christensenellales. Its description in RNAcentral is "UBA2862 sp902793325 Standard tmRNA". It matches the Rfam family "transfer-messenger RNA". From Rfam's summary of the family: Bacterial tmRNA, also known as 10Sa RNA or SsrA, is named for its dual tRNA and mRNA-like properties. Its role is to liberate the mRNA from a stalled ribosome. Lineage: Bacteria; Bacillati; Bacillota; Clostridia. The record is from RNAcentral. RNAcentral also lists the same sequence under 1 other name.
GGGGCCGUAUUUGGUUUCGACGGGGAUGCGGAGGGACAGAGAAGCGAGCGGCGGCCCUGUACCGCCUGAAAACGGGAAAUCAAAAAUGAACUGACACUAACAGUUAUUCUCCUGUCGCCGCUUAAUCGGCGACCGUCGACCCUGAGCGUCCUGCCGCGCAGGCCAUCGACGUCAUAGUAGCAGGGAACCAGCCGACUUAAGCUUUGCGGCCGGCCGGAUUUUAUGAAGCUACUGAUGCCGGAAUCCCGUCUGUGGGAGUCCGGCGGAGGGAACGUUAAAUCGCAGACUGCGCUCGGAGAAGCUCUGGUCUUCUGGUCUUCGGACAGGGGUUCGACCCCCCUCGGCUCCACCA